This is a non-coding RNA of Cinara cedri, 251 nucleotides long. The record is from the annotation of a GenBank genome assembly. Lineage: Eukaryota; Metazoa; Arthropoda; Insecta; Hemiptera; Aphididae.
AGAUGUAUCGUCGGUGGUAUCGAUUUAUGUGUUAUUAAAAACGAUUUCGAGAAGGCGUGUGUUGUAGGUGGCUAUAUUGACAAAAAGUUAGUUGGUGUUUUUGUUUCUAAAUCUACGGUUGGUGUAAGAUCGGCGCCAGUGAUAGCCUGGCAGUUACCUGCGGCAGCAAAUGUUAUCACCAGAGCCUGGUGGUCGGGGGCUGGUCCGGCAGAAAUAUAUUGAGUUAAAGUCACCAUAAUAGCAUAACCCAA